UGGGGAAUAUUGCACAAUGGGCGAAAGCCUGAUGCAGCGACGCCGCGUGAGGGAUGACGGCCUUCGGGUUGUAAACCUCUUUCAGCAGGGACGAAGCGCAAGUGACGGUACCUGCAGAAGAAGCACCGGCUAACUACGUGCCAGCAGCCGCGGUAAUACGUAGGGUGCAAGCGUUGUCCGGAAUUACUGGGCGUAAAGAGUUCGUAGGCGGUUUGUCGCGUCGUUUGUGAAAACCAGCAGCUCAACUGCUGGCUUGCAGGCGAUACGGGCAGACUUGAGUACUGCAGGGGAGACUGGAAUUCCUGGUGUAGCGGUGAAAUGCGCAGAUAUCAGGAGGAACACCGGUGGCGGAGGCGGGUCUCUGGGCAGUAACUGACGCUGAGGAACGAAAGCGUGGGUAGCGAACAGGAUUAGAUACCCUGGUAGUCCACGCCGUAAACGGUGGGCGCUAGGUGUGGGUUCCUUCCACGGAAUCCGUGCCGUAGCUAACGCU
Molecule: ribosomal RNA, 493 nt
Filed under: uncultured Actinomycetes bacterium
Lineage: Bacteria; Bacillati; Actinomycetota; Actinomycetes
Description: bacterial SSU rRNA
Rfam family: Bacterial small subunit ribosomal RNA
Source: RNAcentral